CCGCACGGGUGAGUAACACGUAUGCAAUCCACCUGUAACAGGGGGAUAACCCGGAGAAAUCCGGACUAAUACCCCAUAAUAUGGGCGCUCCGCAUGGAGAGCCCAUUAAAGAGAGCAAUUUUGGUUACAGACGAGCAUGCGCUCCAUUAGCCAGUGGCGGGGUAACGGCCCACCAAAGCGACGAUGGAUAGGGGUUCUGAGAGGAAGGUCCCCCACAUUGGAACUGAGACACGGUCCAA
Molecule: ribosomal RNA, 239 nt
Filed under: uncultured bacterium
Lineage: Bacteria
Description: partial 16S ribosomal RNA
Rfam family: Bacterial small subunit ribosomal RNA
Source: RNAcentral